GAUGAACGCUGGCGGCGUGCCUAAUACAUGCCAGUCGAGCGAACGGACGAGAAGCUUGCUUCUCUGAUGUUAGCGGCGGACGGGUGAGUAACACGUGGAUAACCUACCUAUAAGACUGGGAUAACUUCGGGAAACCGGAGCUAAUACCGGAUAAUAUUUUGAACCGCAUGGUUCAAAAGAGAAAGACGGUCUUGCUGUCACUUAUAGAUGGAUCCGCGCUGCAUUAGCUAGUUGGUAAGGUAACGGCUUACCAAGGCAACGAUGCAUAGCCGACCUGAGAGGGUGAUCGGCCACACUGGAACUGAGACACGGUCCAGACUCCUACGGGAGGCAGCAGUAGGGAAUCUUCCGCAAUGGGCGAAAGCCUGACGGAGCAACGCCGCGUGAGUGAUGAAGGUCUUCGGAUCGUAAAACUCUGUUAUUAGGGAAGAACAUAUGUGUAAGUAACUGUGCACAUCUUGACGGUACCUAAUCAGAAAGCCACGGCUAACUACGUG
This 497-nucleotide ribosomal RNA is filed under the name uncultured bacterium. RNAcentral describes it as "partial 16S ribosomal RNA". It matches the Rfam family "Bacterial small subunit ribosomal RNA", at positions 28 to 507 of the family's 1533-position model. The record is from RNAcentral.